RNAcentral lists this non-coding RNA (24 nucleotides) under Arabidopsis thaliana (thale cress). Lineage: Eukaryota; Viridiplantae; Streptophyta; Magnoliopsida; Brassicales; Brassicaceae. The record is from RNAcentral.
UCUUUGUUUAGUCUGGUUUAGUCU